This 253-nucleotide ribosomal RNA is filed under the name uncultured bacterium. RNAcentral's name for it is "partial 16S ribosomal RNA". It matches the Rfam family "Bacterial small subunit ribosomal RNA", at positions 524 to 776 of the family's 1533-position model. The record is from RNAcentral.
UACGUAGGGGGCAAGCGUUGUCCGGAUUUAUUGGGCGUAAAGCGCACGCAAGCGGUCUGACAAGUCUGGCGUGAAAUCCUCUGGCUUAACCAGGGGCGGUCGCUGGAGACUGUUGGGCUUGAGGCGAUGAGAGGGGUGCAGAAUUCCCGGUGUAGUGGUGGAAUGCGUAGAGAUCGGGAGGAAUACCAGUGGCGAAAGCGGCACCCUGGCGUCGGCCUGACGCACAUGUGCGAAAGCGUGGGGAGCGAACGGG